AGGGAGAUAGUUCAAUAGGUAGAAUAAUGGUCUCCAAAGCCAAUGGUUGGGGGUUCAAGUCCCUCUCUUCCUG
This is a transfer RNA of 73 nucleotides. It matches the Rfam family "tRNA". Rfam says of the family: Transfer RNA (tRNA) molecules are approximately 80 nucleotides in length. The record is from Rfam.